Molecule: long non-coding RNA, 314 nt
Organism: Vanessa atalanta (red admiral)
Lineage: Eukaryota; Metazoa; Arthropoda; Insecta; Lepidoptera; Nymphalidae
Exons: 3
Source: RefSeq, a predicted model, not a curated record
UCUACGCGGCAUGUUUUUUAUUUAGUGAAACAAAUUUUACGUUUUAUCACAGUUAUUAGAACACCACGCGUUGGGCAGCACGUCUUUGUUUUAAUUAUAUCUGUAAGAGUGUCAGUGUGAAACUGAAAGUUUCUGAACUCAAGCGUUUGUAUUAUGUGUUUCGACCCGAAUACUGUCCAGACGUGUUUAACAGAAAACAUGUGUGGAAAACACACGUAAUCUUCCCGCCUUGUAUUGGGAUGAAUGGUUAGCGACUUACUUACAGUGGAUUAUACGAUUCAAGGAUUAUGGUUGACAACGCGUGUGCAUAAGGU